Xylona heveae TC161 is the source of this 114-nucleotide transfer RNA. It matches the Rfam family "tRNA". Rfam says of the family: Transfer RNA (tRNA) molecules are approximately 80 nucleotides in length. Their secondary structure includes four short double-helical elements and three loops (D, anti-codon, and T loops). The record is from Rfam. NCBI's taxonomy places the organism in Eukaryota, Fungi, Ascomycota, Xylonomycetes, Xylonales, Xylonaceae.
GCGAGUUUGGCCGAGUGGUCUAAGGCGGCAGAUUUAAGUUGGUAACGAUCUUUUCGUUUUCUCGACAAUUCUCUGCUGGGGAGACCCGCGUGAGUUCGAACCUCACAGCUCGCA